Molecule: ribosomal RNA, 409 nt
Filed under: uncultured Nitrososphaerota archaeon
Lineage: Archaea; Thermoproteati; Nitrososphaerota
Description: bacterial SSU rRNA
Rfam family: Archaeal small subunit ribosomal RNA
Source: RNAcentral
CUGGUGUCAGCCGCCGCGGUAAUACCAGCACCCCGAGUGGUCGGGACGAUUAUUGGGCCUAAAGCAUCCGUAGCCGGUACUGCAAGUCUUCCGUUAAAUCCACCUGCUCAACAGUUGGGCUGCGGAGGAUACUACAGCGCUAGGAGGCGGGAGAGGCAAGCGGUACUCAUUGGGUAGGGGUAAAAUCCACUGAUCCAUUGAAGACCACCAGUGGCGAAGGCGGCUUGCCAGAACGCGCUCGACGGUGAGGGAUGAAAGCUGGGGGAGCAAACCGGAUUAGAUACCCGGGUAGUCCCAGCUGUAAACGAUGCAGACUCGGUGAUGGGCUGGCCUUGUGCCAACCCAGUGCCGCAGGGAAGCCGUUAAGUCUGCCGCCUGGGGAGUACGGUCGCAAGACUGAAACUUAAAG